This 549-nucleotide ribosomal RNA is filed under the name uncultured bacterium. RNAcentral's name for it is "bacterial SSU rRNA". It matches the Rfam family "Bacterial small subunit ribosomal RNA", at positions 59 to 605 of the family's 1533-position model. The record is from RNAcentral.
AAGUCGAACGGUAACAUUUCUAGCUUGCUAGAAGAUGACGAGUGGCGGACGGGUGAGUAAUGCUUGGGAACUUGCCUUUGCGAGGGGGAUAACAGUUGGAAACGACUGCUAAUACCGCAUAAUGUCUUCGGACCAAACGGGGCUUCGGCUCCGGCGCAAAGAGAGGCCCAAGUGAGAUUAGCUAGUUGGUAAGGUAACGGCUUACCAAGGCGACGAUCUCUAGCUGUUCUGAGAGGAAGAUCAGCCACACUGGGACUGAGACACGGCCCAGACUCCUACGGGAGGCAGCAGUGGGGAAUAUUGCACAAUGGGGGAAACCCUGAUGCAGCCAUGCCGCGUGUGUGAAGAAGGCCUUCGGGUUGUAAAGCACUUUCAGUUGUGAGGAAAAGUUAGUAGUUAAUACCUGCUAGCCGUGACGUUAACAACAGAAGAAGCACCGGCUAACUCCGUGCCAGCAGCCGCGGUAAUACGGAGGGUGCGAGCGUUAAUCGGAAUUACUGGGCGUAAAGCGCACGCAGGCGGUUUGUUAAGCUAGAUGUGAAAGCCCCG